Non-coding RNA from Camellia sinensis, 148 nucleotides. Lineage: Eukaryota; Viridiplantae; Streptophyta; Magnoliopsida; Ericales; Theaceae. The record is from RefSeq and is a predicted model, not a curated record.
UGAGUGGUGGAGGUAGGUUUGGUGGAGUGUAGUAGGUGAUAGGAGUGAGUGGUGGAGGUAGGUUUGGUGGAGUGUAGUAGGUGAUAGGAGUGAGUGGUGGAGGUAGGUUUGGUGGAGUGUAGUAGGUGAUUUACAUUUACAUUAACAA